This 271-nucleotide long non-coding RNA is filed under the name Helianthus annuus (common sunflower). RNAcentral's name for it is "sRNA HanXRQr2_Chr03g0127461". The record is from RNAcentral. Lineage: Eukaryota; Viridiplantae; Streptophyta; Magnoliopsida; Asterales; Asteraceae.
UGGUCGAUCAAGAACAGGAGAGGGCGACCUCCCUCAUCCUCAAAACCCUAAAAUUCACUAAACCCACAAAUUGAAGGCUCAAUCCAAGUUGAAAUCAAAAUCUGAACAUGGAAUCGUGAUCACCUCGUCAAAAGGAGUCAUAAGUUUGACGCUAAACGAGCUAGGUGGAAGCUUGAGGACGAAGCGGGUCAAACAAAUCAAUAAGGAAAAGUAAGGCAUAGUUUGGAUGCGAGGAUAAAUCGACCUAUGAAUUAGCGAUGCUAUGAAUUAG